RNAcentral lists this ribosomal RNA (490 nucleotides) under uncultured bacterium. RNAcentral's name for it is "partial 16S ribosomal RNA". It matches the Rfam family "Bacterial small subunit ribosomal RNA", at positions 30 to 507 of the family's 1533-position model. The record is from RNAcentral.
AUUGAACGCUGGCGGCAGGCCUAACACAUGCAAGUCGAACGGUAACAGGAAGAAGCUUGCUUCUUUGCUGACGAGUGGCGGACGGGUGAGUAAUGUCUGGGAAACUGCCUGAUGGAGGGGGAUAACUACUGGAAACGGUAGCUAAUACCGCAUAACGUCGCAAGCCCAAAGAGGGGGACCUUCGGGCCUCUUGCCAUCGGAUGUGCCCAGAUGGGAUUAGCUAGUAGGUGGGGUAACGGCUCACCUAGGCGACGAUCCCUAGCUGGUCUGAGAGGAUGACCAGCCACACUGGAACUGGGACACGGUCCAGACUCCUACGGGAGGCAGCAGUGGGGAAUAUUGCACAAAGGGCGCAAGCCUGAUGCAGCCAUGCCGCGUGUAUGAAGAAGGCCUUCGGGUUGUAAAGUACUUUCAGCGGGGAGGAAGGGAGUAAAGUUAAUACCUUUGCUCAUUGACGUUACCCGCAGAAGAAGCACCGGCUAACUCCGUG